RNAcentral lists this long non-coding RNA (274 nucleotides) under Capsicum annuum. Its description in RNAcentral is "long non-coding RNA (CANN_LNC012864)". Lineage: Eukaryota; Viridiplantae; Streptophyta; Magnoliopsida; Solanales; Solanaceae. The record is from RNAcentral.
CCAACACCCUCAGACAUGACCCUAAUCCACCAUCAACCCCUCCACCUACUACUCAAACAACAAAACAAAUCCCCAAGCUGACAACCUAAUGGACAAAUCAACCUUACAAAAAUAGUAAGAAAAGGCACGCCCAAAGAACACUAUCCGACCUAGCAGCUAAAAAAAAUACCACCAAAUUCUCCAAUAAGCACAACACCCAGUCACCAAUGUACUCACAGGAAGCAGGAAAUAAGAACUGAAAGAGACAAUAAACAAACAACAAGAAAUAAACAAG